GUAAUGAUCCAGAAAGCGGCUUUCGCAAUUGGUAUUCUUUCUAAUAUCUGGGAAUUUCACCUCUACACUAGAAAUUCUGCUUUCCUCUAUCAUACUCUAGCUGAAAAGUUUUGAUGGCAGUUCCAGAGUUAAGCUCUGGGAUUUCACCACCAACUUUUUCAACCACCUACGAACUCUUUAAGCCCAGUAAUUCCGAACUACGCUAGGUCCCUUCGUAUUACCGCGGCUGCUGGCACGAAGUUAGCCGGACCUUCUUAUUCGGGUACAGUCAUUUUCUUCCCCGACGAAAGAGCUUUACAACCCAAAGGCCUUCUUCACUCACGCGGCAUCGCUGCAUCAGAGUUUCCUCCAUUGUGCAAGAUUCCCCACUGCUGCCUCCCGUAGGAGUUUGGGCCGUGUCUCAGUCCCAAUGUGGCUGAUCAUCCUCUCAAAUCAGCUAUUGAUCAUAGUCUUGGUAGGCCAUUACCUUACCAACAAACUAAUCAAGUGCGGGCUCAUCCAAUGGUGCAUAAAGCUUUCUCCGUAAAGACUUAUCCGGUAUUAGCACAAGUUUCCUCGUGUUAUUCCAGGCCAAAGGGUAGAUACCCACAUGUUACUCACCCGUCUGCCACUAAGUAUUGCUACUUCGUUCGACUUGCAUGUGUUAGGCGGUCCGCCAGCGUACGUUCUGAGCCAGG
RNAcentral lists this ribosomal RNA (677 nucleotides) under uncultured bacterium. RNAcentral describes it as "partial 16S ribosomal RNA". The record is from RNAcentral.